Molecule: ribosomal RNA, 1439 nt
Filed under: Kocuria sp. UKS5
Lineage: Bacteria; Bacillati; Actinomycetota; Actinomycetes; Micrococcales; Micrococcaceae
Description: bacterial SSU rRNA
Rfam family: Bacterial small subunit ribosomal RNA
Source: RNAcentral
GACGAACGCUGGCGGCGUGCUUAACACAUGCAAGUCGAACGAUGAUGCCCAGCUUGCUGGGCGGAUUAGUGGCGAACGGGUGAGUAAUACGUGAGUAACCUGCCCUUGACUCUGGGAUAAGCCUGGGAAACUGGGUCUAAUACUGGAUACUACCUCUUGCCGCAUGGUGGGUGGUGGAAAGGGUUUUACUGGUUUUGGAUGGGCUCACGGCCUAUCAGCUUGUUGGUGGGGUAAUGGCUCACCAAGGCGACGACGGGUAGCCGGCCUGAGAGGGUGACCGGCCACACUGGGACUGAGACACGGCCCAGACUCCUACGGGAGGCAGCAGUGGGGAAUAUUGCACAAUGGGCGGAAGCCUGAUGCAGCGACGCCGCGUGAGGGAUGACGGCCUUCGGGUUGUAAACCUCUUUCAGUAGGGAAGAAGCGAGAGUGACGGUACCUGCAGAAGAAGCGCCGGCUAACUACGUGCCAGCAGCCGCGGUAAUACGUAGGGCGCAAGCGUUGUCCGGAAUUAUUGGGCGUAAAGAGCUCGUAGGCGGUUUGUCGCGUCUGCUGUGAAAGCCCGGGGCUCAACCCCGGGUCUGCAGUGGGUACGGGCAGACUAGAGUGCAGUAGGGGAGACUGGAAUUCCUGGUGUAGCGGUGAAAUGCGCAGAUAUCAGGAGGAACACCGAUGGCGAAGGCAGGUCUCUGGGCUGUUACUGACGCUGAGGAGCGAAAGCAUGGGGAGCGAACAGGAUUAGAUACCCUGGUAGUCCAUGCCGUAAACGUUGGGCACUAGGUGUGGGGGACAUUCCACGUUUUCCGCGCCGUAGCUAACGCAUUAAGUGCCCCGCCUGGGGAGUACGGCCGCAAGGCUAAAACUCAAAGGAAUUGACGGGGGCCCGCACAAGCGGCGGAGCAUGCGGAUUAAUUCGAUGCAACGCGAAGAACCUUACCAAGGCUUGACAUUCACCGGACCGCCCCAGAGAUGGGGUUUCCCUUCGGGGCUGGUGGACAGGUGGUGCAUGGUUGUCGUCAGCUCGUGUCGUGAGAUGUUGGGUUAAGUCCCGCAACGAGCGCAACCCUCGUUCUAUGUUGCCAGCACGUGAUGGUGGGGACUCAUAGGAGACUGCCGGGGUCAACUCGGAGGAAGGUGGGGAUGACGUCAAAUCAUCAUGCCCCUUAUGUCUUGGGCUUCACGCAUGCUACAAUGGCCGGUACAAAGGGUUGCGAUACUGUGAGGUGGAGCUAAUCCCAAAAAGCCGGUCUCAGUUCGGAUUGAGGUCUGCAACUCGACCUCAUGAAGUCGGAGUCGCUAGUAAUCGCAGAUCAGCAACGCUGCGGUGAAUACGUUCCCGGGCCUUGUACACACCGCCCGUCAAGUCACGAAAGUUGGUAACACCCCGAAGCCGGUGGCCUAACCCCUUGUGGGAGGGAGCCGUCGAAGGUGGACUGGCA